UAUUUAUAACUUUUUAUGUAUAAGAUAAUUACAAGAAUAGUUGGGAACAUUGAUAGGCUACUAAUGGGAAUGCUUCUAGAACAAGGUUGUGUUCAUUGUCUUUUCAUAAAAAUAAAAAAAAGUGCAGGAUUUGCAUUAUUGAUGUAGUGACGUGCACGCAGAAGAGUGAGGUUUCACCACUUAGGUUUUAGAAUAACCCCAGUCUUGUUCACUUAUAAUCACACUGCCAAUAAAGAUGAUUUUUGGCAACAGGGCUUGUCAGCAGAAAGCCUCCCUCUUUGACAUCUGUAUGUGCAUAUCAAACACAGAAUGCCCAAAAGCUGGCUCUGAAAUCAUUUUUUUUUUACCACUUCAAGGAGCCUUUGAGUAGAACAGAAGGUUCUGUCACUGAAGCUGUUUUGGUCAUAUGCUUUGUUGGGGUUAGGGUUACAUUCAGUGUGAAAUUUAAUUUAUAAAGAGGCAUGUGAUCAGAAUAAAGUGAGGAUGUGGCCUACAGUCAGGAUCGCUCUGCUUCGUCUGCCAUGUUCACACAAAGACCCCACAGUAAGAAGUUAAUAGACAGACAUCCUGCCCUCUGGCAUGAGGACUUAAAUAUGUGAACAUGACAAAGUGAUGGAAAGGUUCUUUUGUUGUCCUCAGGGCUGCCACAAGACAAUCUAGGUCAUCCAGAAAUGAACAUUUAUAUGGGAUGUGUCACGGUAUUUGACUAUUCAUCUAGAUUGACUAGUUUUAGAUUCUUCGUUUUUUUUUUUUUUUUUUUUGCAAUGGUUUGCAAGGUUAAUCCCUAUCUGAUUAAAUUUUUAAAGGGAUACUCCACCAAAAAAUUUAACUUGUCAUAAUUUGCUCAUUUAUUUCUUUCUUCUGUGGAACUAAAAUAUAUUUUGAGAAAUGUCAAAUUUUUCGUACAGUAGACAUUAAUGGUCUCCAUAGUUGUGUGGUUUACAACAUCCCUCAAAAUGUAAUCUUAUGUUCCACAGAAGAAAGUCAUACAUUUUAAGAACAGCAUGAUGGUAAAUAAAUUAUAAUUGACAUUUUUUGAAUGGGGUAUCCCUUUAAUUCAUCCUCUUUAAAACAUUGCUUCUUCAGACAUAAACGUAUAGACUGACAUCUUUGACCAAUGUGUUGCCAUAAAUGUUGCGUUGUACAGUUUGUAAAGAUCCUUCUGCAUCCUGUUCCUUCAGUUAUAUUGAAUGAUUUGUCUCAUUUUAACAACCUCCCAUAAUUGUGUAUGACUGGGGUGAGGUGACCCCCCCCCCCCCCCAAAAAAAAAUCCCUGUUCUCUUCUUAUUUAAAAUGUAAAAUUCAUUGUUUACUCACUUUUGUUGUUUCAAACAUGCAUGACUUUCUUCAUUCUGUUGAACACAACAGUAUAUAUUUUAUAAUGUAAAUAGCAAUAUAUGUAUUUUUGUAUGAAAAUUUACUGCUUUUGUGCAUAUAAUGAAAGUCAAUGGGACUCAAAACAAACCAUAAGAAAUAGACAAUUCAGUUGUGUUCCCCAGAGAAAGACAUGGAAGUUUUGGAGUGACCUGAGAAUUAAUGACAUAAUGUAAGUUCAUUUUAUGUAUGCAGAUCUCAGACUGCCUAAUUUAAUGAAAUGUAUCAUGAAAUAUUAUGUAUAACAUUAUGAUGUCUUAAGUGCUACCUGUAAAGAUCAGUUAAUACAAUCAAAAAUUUGAGUUAUUGUUUUGAAAACUUUUAUAAUGGAAGCUUUUCAGUAUGAAGACACAGUCGUCAUCACAGUGAUGUACCACAGCCCAAAACCAUGUGCACAUAUGCAGACUGUGUUACCUGAUGUGAGAGGUGUCAGAGAGAAUCUCUGCAAACACGCAUGUGAAAUCACAUUCAGUUUAUCAGACCUUUCAUGAGUUACCUUUUGUGUGGUUUUAACGUUGAGUUGGUAUGAAGGUGAGACGGUACCUUUCUCAAGACUAGCCAUGAAAAGGUAUUAGAUCAUAAACAGGAGGAGUAAUCCCGGGUCAGAGAUUGCUGUCAAAGUGUCCCCUCCAGUGUCCUAGAAAUGUGUGGCUUUGUAGGGAGUGGAUGGUGAAAGCAAAGGGAAUGCUAUUGUCUUGUCUGGUCCUGUCCAGAUGAGGGCUAAACAUGAUGGCCCUCAGUCAUGUAGAGGAAUGAAGCGGCUGUGAAUGCCUUCUCCGGUGUCACUUUCUGUCUAGGAGGUCCGACAGGCUGUCUGUCAUCAGAUUCAGCUUAUUACUCCACCUUGCAUAUGAGCCAACAGCCAAAUCAAGGAGAAUAUAUUUCAAAGGGAAACCGUUAUAAGUUGUAUAAAGCUUGAAUGUAAAAGCCAAGCAUCCAACAGAAUUUAAAAUGAUGCUCAUAACUGCACAGCUGGACUCAAGAUCUUGAAAUUUGAGUUGACUAGUUAUCAUCCAAUGCAUAGGAAUUUACGCAUUUACUGACACAAAAACCCGCGCUCACCUGCGUAUACAUCUUGAAGGCAAAUCAAAUAUGCUAACUUGCAUUUUCAAAUGGAGCCGCUUUAAAUGUAGACAGCCUGUCACAAUGAGACGCAAGUAGUCUGAUGAAAACCGAACAAAGAAGACAAAGUACGGUGGCUGGGUACAUCGAGAAAUGAAAUGUAACCUUGUAUGGACUGUCAGCAUUGUCGUUUUAUAUUCAUAUCUAAAGCACAUUAUAGUAUUACACUCCAGCUCAUGCUUCACUCAUCUGUCUCUCUUCAUUCGUCACGGGCGAGACUUUGUCUUUCAAGCCCCCGCGCGCCAACACCAGAAGGCUCCUGUUAAUUGACAAAUGAGAGCCUGCGACAUGAAGUGCUCCCUCAACAUCAGAGCAAGGUGGAGUCUCCUUUUUGAUGGGGCUAUUAUUGGCAUAAGCCAGUAAAACGCAUUGCUCUUCUCCGAAAUGAGAAGUGACAACGGUAGAAGGGCCUGUCACUGUCUUCCGGGUGUGUUCAAUCUGCUGCUGUGCCAGUAUGUAGAUAAAAUGUCAGUUAAGAGUACGAAGGAGAAACUGUCGAAAUGAAGUCGUCAAAUCACUUAGCCCGCAGAGGGUAUGGAAAUUGAUGCUUUUGUGGAAAUGAGAAUUUUUCAUAUCUGAUCUAUCAGGCUUAUUUAGCGUUAAUAUUUGGGAACAGCCCAGACUGUUUGGCUUGCAUUAGAAGAGGAUGCAGCUUUCCUUUAGCCCUGUCUAGUUUGUUAGACAGGCGCAAGUGGCGGAAAUGGAAUUUAUGCAUUUUCAUUCAGGGUGCCGCUCAUAUAAAUCAACUAUGAAGCAAUAAAAUCUCGUUUAAUUUCUCAGAGCAAAUUUGUACCUCUGUGAUUGCUUCAGGAGAGGAUGAGCUGACAGGCAAAAUUGUGAGAAUACAGAGAAACCAUUUUGGAUACAUUAUAGUUGACAUGUUUGUUACUUGCUGCUUUGCUAAUGGAUAAUUUAAAUAAAUUUAGUGUGUGGCGGUUGUGCGUCUUUGUUCCACUGCAAAGAUACAACCCAGUAAUGCUAAAGGGAAUUAUUUUAAGGUCAAAGCAAACAUGGCUUUAAACGAAAGAGAGAAUUUCUUCUUAACCAAAGGAUGGAGUGAGAUCUUGACCGAAAUCAUAGUAUUUGUUUUUGGGUCUGAUCUCUAAGCCACAUCAUUAUGAUUUAUGCAUUGCUAUCUGGAAGUCAUCACUCUAAAAGUUCAACUUUAGUGGGGCUAAAGCAGUAAUUUGUGUUGUUAAUGUCAUGUAAAUGUUUUAGUCUGACUGAAAUCAGACUAGACCCUUUCUUGGCAACGUUGGACUAACAGAGCUAGAUAAUUGUGGAUUAAGAUGAUUGUGGCUCGUCUUCAACCCUCAUGUAUACACACAUUUACACAUGUUUCAAAAGGAAAAACAAAACAUGUAUUUAAUCCUUUGAUUACCGAUGUCACGUGUACUUUGACUCCACUAUUCAAAAGGCACUGUAGCUAGCAUGUAACUUUCUCACCGCCAUACCUCCAUUCUCAUGUGCUAUUCACUUUCAGUUAUCGUUCAUCUUGACAGUUUUUCUGUUUUAACAGCAGCAGGAAGGCACGCCCUCAUCUUGACUUGGUAUUUCCAGCCAUUUCUAAUGUAGAUGGCCUGAACUUGCGGAGCCACACAUCCUUGUCCCUUUUGCAUGGCAGUUUUUCCUGCUCUUUGUAUAAACAGAGCUGUGCUUGUUUGCCCCAGGAAGAAUUAAAUCCAGUUGAUGUGCAAUAUCUCUGCGGCCGCCAAAACAGGCACCAUCGUCUGUCCGGCCAACGAGAGGGGAACGUCAUCAAGUCCUACCAAAUUAGUUUUGAAAAGUUCUUGCGGGCAAAUCAUGCUUUCUGUAUUUUGGUUAGAUGACAAUCUUGUAUCUGAUAAAAAACAUUUUUCUUCCACAUGUUACUGCCAAACCGCAGCAAUAUGGUAUUCAUUUAGAGGUCUGUCCUUCUGUCCCGUCUGGAUGGCAAGAGUUAAAGCACAGGAACAUUCCAUGUUGAGUGGUGGAAAGGUCUCCGCUUUGUCAAACGCUCACUAAUCACCCUCUGUUUAUCUCACAAACCGCCUAGAUUGUAAAUGUCAGUUCUGUCUGCUGACUUGUGUACUUUGGUUUUGAAAUCAUGCUCUCAAGACUGCUGCUCUGACAUCUCAAAUAAAUGAAUGGCUUCA
This is a long non-coding RNA of Carassius gibelio (silver crucian carp), 4631 nucleotides long. RefSeq lists it as uncharacterized. Lineage: Eukaryota; Metazoa; Chordata; Actinopteri; Cypriniformes; Cyprinidae. The record is from RefSeq and is a predicted model, not a curated record. The transcript has 2 exons.